RNAcentral lists this long non-coding RNA (1796 nucleotides) under Crocodylus porosus (Australian saltwater crocodile). RNAcentral's name for it is "lncRNA (ENSCPRG00005014653.1)". Lineage: Eukaryota; Metazoa; Chordata; Crocodylia; Crocodylidae. The record is from RNAcentral.
AAAAUGCAAAAGCCAACUCUUACUUUUGAAGAAUUCUUACAGUCCCAAAAUUUGGAUGAUUGGCCAAGGGUUCCCUUUUUGGAUGAUGAUUGUUCUUUGGUGGACAAAUUACAAAAAGAUUAUUCAUUCAGUGCUAUUUCAAAGUGUCUGUAUGAAAAUGCGCCACUGAACAUUAAACCCAUCUCAGACGUGGAGAAGAAAAUAAAUGAAUGCACCAUGGAACUGAAGGAACAUGCUGGAAAAAUACUUUCUUUGGAACACAAACAAGUGGAGAUGGAUAGUCAUCUAAUUUCACCACAGCAAAGUAAUAAGCAAUUAUUUUAGUUUUACUAAUAGGAACAAUAGCUGAAUGGUGAAUGAAUUGAUUUAAUCCAUUUUUCAUCCCUAGCAAUUUCUUUCAAGUUUCUUGAAACAACAGGAAAAAUGUACAGUCUGGUAUCUGAAAAACAUACAUGUAUAUGCAGUAAAGAUGCAGAGUUGGAUAAAAUUCUAGCAGAUAGAAUAUAAUAACAUUUGCACAUUAGAAAAUUUUUCAUGUAGUGCUCAGAGGUCUACAGUACAUAUAUACACAAUGUCCUGCAUAAGGUAUAUCACUGUUGUCCUGAGAGGCAUUCAUGCAUAAGCUAUAUUAUAGUAGAAGUAGCCUUGGGAAGCAUUGUGCUUUUAAGAAGCACAGGUAUUUUUGUGCUGCCCUUACUAACAGGAAAAGUACUAAAUUAGCUAUGUUGUUUGAUGUAUUUAGACUGUGGAGUCAAAGCUUUGUCAUUUAUACAUUUUCUUUGUCCACUUCAGGAGGCAAGGCUUACACAUGCUUACAGUUUAUCUAUGCAAAACAUACGCCUCAGAUAAAUUAAUAUAAAAAAUAGAGUUUUAACUAAAAAUGUUGUUCUUAAUGGACAUAGUUGAUUAGAACCUUAAUUUUGCAACUCCACUAAAGACAGCAUCUCCAUCAAUUCUUAAUGUGUAAUUAUUGUCCGAUAAUUGGCCAAGAGUUUCUUGGUGAUUGUUCUUUGGCAGACAAAUAAUGUCAAAUGGAUAGUACAUUCAUAAUUUCAAAGGGUAUAUAGUGUUCUGUAACUUUGUGUUAGGGCACUAGUUCAGUAUCAAGUUAGGCAGAAGAUAGGGCAGGAUGGCACCUUGAAGACUGCCUUAUUCAGAGAGACCUAAGCUUUCAUAGGUGACAGCCUACUCUGUCAGAUGCUUUGUCAGAUAUCUCUGCCUGACUUCAGACUACAUGGCUAACGACUUUUCAGUGUUCAGUUGGAAAGCGAAGAGUCAGUUUCUUUAGAAUCUCACUUUGGUUUAGGUGUAGCCUUCUGGUGUUAUGGCUGGAGAGAUAUCAUUGUUACAACUAAAUAACUGUGUGGUACUUUUUACUAAAUGCAUUGGGCAUACUUCUCAGUUGGUAUUGAUUUCAGUGGAGAUAUACUGCUUCACAUCAGAUGAAGUUACUAUUGUUUCUUGCAAAUAUCAGUAAUCUGAUUCCUUUAUCAUCUCUGUGUAAUUAUUUAUGGAUAUGAUGUUAACAUACGGAUUUGCAUAUAAAAUUGUGGGAUCUCUUGGGGGAUAUGCUUGUGACGGGGUAGGCAACUUUUUUUGCUGGCGUGCCAGAAAAAAUGCAGUGUCUACCUUGUAAGGUGCUGGAGUGCUGGCAUACCAGAAAAACAAAACCAGGGCAGAGGGUACAUGACAGGAUGCACUUUAUAUUAAUAUAGUUAAUAAUCAUCAAUGUUGCUUUGUUUUUUCCCAGUAAAUACCAGGUUUUCUAAAAAAUGUUAAACCUGGUGACAAUAAAU